ACAGAGGAUCUGCGAAUCAAAUGGGCACCAGAUGUUGACAUUGUCAGCGGUGUCUUAAUUCUCUGUUCCACAGUACUGGCAUC
RNAcentral lists this microRNA precursor (83 nucleotides) under Ochotona princeps (American pika). RNAcentral's name for it is "miRNA (ENSOPRG00000018047.1)". Lineage: Eukaryota; Metazoa; Chordata; Mammalia; Lagomorpha; Ochotonidae. The record is from RNAcentral.